AUGGCUUUUAGAAAAAGCCUCAUUGCCCUAUGCAAUGCUCAGCCAUCAAAGACUUCUUUGGUUAACUUACAUCUUUUACAAUUUUCUUUGCCUCUUAGUCUUAAAAAAGCUCUCAAAUGGAUGCAGUCCCAUCAGAGACAGAAGAAUUCGCUACAUAUGCUGCUGUCCUCCAACAUAAUGAUCAUCUCUUGCCUCAACUGAUGUACUGUGUCCAGAAUUGGUGGGUUCUAGGUUCUGCUGACUUCAAGAAUAAAGGCACGGACCCUUGCGGGAAGUGUUACAGUUCUUAAAGAUGGCAUGUCUUAAAGAUGGCGCAUCUGGACUCAUUCCUUCCUCCCAGUGGGUUCCUAGUCUGGCUGCCUUCAGCAAUGAAGCAGCAAACCUUUGGAAUGAGAGCUACAGCUCAUAAACACAGUGUUGACCCAAAGAAUAAGCAGCAGCAAGAGUUAUUGCAAAGAACAAAAGUUCCAAGGACUGGAAGGUGACCAGAGCAGGUUGCCACUGCCGGCUCCAGCAGCCUGCUUUUAUUCCCUUAUCUGACCCCACUACAUCCUGUUGAUUGGUCCAUUUUACAGAGGGCUGAUUGGUCUAUUUUACAGAAGGCUGAUUGGUCCAUUUUGACAGAGUGCUAAUUGGUCUGUUUUGACAGAGUGCUGAUUGGCGCGUUUACAAACCUUGAGCUAGACACAGAGUGCUGAUUGGUGCAUUUACACUCCUCUAGCUAGACAUAAAAGUUUUCCAAGUCCCCACCCCACUCAGGAGUCCAGCUAGCUUCC
This 776-nucleotide long non-coding RNA is filed under the name Papio anubis (olive baboon). RNAcentral describes it as "lncRNA (ENSPANG00000039099.1)". The record is from RNAcentral. Lineage: Eukaryota; Metazoa; Chordata; Mammalia; Primates; Cercopithecidae.